RNAcentral lists this ribosomal RNA (604 nucleotides) under uncultured bacterium. RNAcentral describes it as "bacterial SSU rRNA". It matches the Rfam family "Bacterial small subunit ribosomal RNA", at positions 57 to 657 of the family's 1533-position model. The record is from RNAcentral.
GCAGUCGAGCGGUAGAGAGGUGCUUGCACCUCUUGAGAGCGGCGGACGGGUGAGUAAAGCCUAGGAAUCUGCCUGGUAGUGGGGGAUAACGCUCGGAAACGGACGCUAAUACCGCAUACGUCCUACGGGAGAAAGCAGGGGACCUUCGGGCCUUGCGCUAUCAGAUGAGCCUAGGUCGGAUUAGCUAGUUGGUGAGGUAAUGGCUCACCAAGGCGACGAUCCGUAACUGGUCUGAGAGGAUGAUCAGUCACACUGGAACUGAGACACGGUCCAGACUCCUACGGGAGGCAGCAGUGGGGAAUAUUGGACAAUGGGCGAAAGCCUGAUCCAGCCAUGCCGCGUGUGUGAAGAAGGUCUUCGGAUUGUAAAGCACUUUAAGUUGGGAGGAAGGGCAUUAACCUAAUACGUUAGUGUUUUGACGUUACCGACAGAAUAAGCACCGGCUAACUCUGUGCCAGCAGCCGCGGUAAUACAGAGGGUGCAAGCGUUAAUCGGAAUUACUGGGCGUAAAGCGCGCGUAGGUGGUUCGUUAAGUUGGAUGUGAAAUCCCCGGGCUCAACCUGGGAACUGCAUUCAAAACUGUCGAGCUAGAGUAUGGUAGAGG